Molecule: long non-coding RNA, 194 nt
Organism: Carassius auratus (goldfish)
Lineage: Eukaryota; Metazoa; Chordata; Actinopteri; Cypriniformes; Cyprinidae
Exons: 3
Source: RefSeq, a predicted model, not a curated record
CUCAUCUGAUUUUGCUGGUCAACAUUUUUGACUGCAGUUGCAAGUGUUUGCUGUGCAGUACAUCUUCAACCUGCAGUAUCAAGAGGCGGCUUGUUGCACGUUAGAGUUUUUUCAAAGUUUUUUCAGUUCAUCAUCUGAAACACUGUCAAAUUUGGUUUUAUUCGCAUGCCAGACACGGAGAAAAUAGGAGAAAG